CAUUUCGAAAAUUAUAUCAUAGACAUAUCGAAUGAUUUAAAUGAAUAUCUAAAAUAGUUAAUCAUAUAUCAAACGUGUGUGUUCAAAAAUGUGUAUAACUCGUCUUUUUUCUUAAAAAAAUCAAUUAUUUUCUUAAUUUUUAUUAUUUUCACGAGAUAAUUUUCUCAAUACAGUUUACAUCAUUUUUUUUAUAAAAAGUGUAUGACGUCAAUUUUUUUUUACGUAGGAUAAAUAUUUAGAACGAUAAAAAGUAAGAGAAUAACUAUAAUUGGUGAUUUGGAAGGGAAAACAAUGGAUUUUGACCUCGAAAACGAUGCCCACCCAGCAAAAGUUAUGGCCAAAUUACCAAAAAUACGUUUAAAAAAAACUAAACUUUGAACACUCCGCGCUGGUGAAACACUUACAGCAGCGCGGAGUUCAACAUUUUUUUUCUUCAAUAUUCAAGAGAUGAAGAUUACAGCUCCACACAAGAACUAAAAAAUAGUGGAGUAAAUUGCUGUUCUCUUUCUCUUCUAAAGUAAAGUAAUAGGAAUAAAAACUUUUCUUGUGUGACUUGCGUCUGCAAUUAAAAUUAUCUGAAAUUGCAAAAUAAAACUUUUGAACAAUCUCAAUUAUGGAAAAUUUAUCUGUAGCUAAAAUUAAGUAUAAUCAAUUUGACUCCGAUAACUGAGGCUCUAUUUGAACUAACAAUCCAAUGUCUACCACCCAUAGGCCGAGAGAAUUUAGAAUUUCUUACAUUCACCAUGUUGGGUGUAAGAUCAAGUCUUGAGUAAUGCCCCAUGACAUGAAGUUUUAUAUAAAAGCUUAUCUUUACUACUUCAAAUCAGCACAGGCUGAGAGUAUAUAAUGUAUAAAUGUUUGGUAUGAUUUUUUAACGCAACAAUAUUUGCUAAAUUUCUUAUUGGCUAAACUAUAUAUUCUUUAUAGC
Molecule: long non-coding RNA, 928 nt
Filed under: Olea europaea subsp. europaea
Lineage: Eukaryota; Viridiplantae; Streptophyta; Magnoliopsida; Lamiales; Oleaceae
Source: RNAcentral